This 279-nucleotide ribosomal RNA is filed under the name uncultured bacterium. Its description in RNAcentral is "partial 16S ribosomal RNA". It matches the Rfam family "Bacterial small subunit ribosomal RNA", at positions 506 to 784 of the family's 1533-position model. The record is from RNAcentral.
UGCCAGCAGCCGCGGUAAUACGGGGGGAGCAAGCGUUGUUCGGAAUUACUGGGCGUAAAGCGCGCGUAGGCGGGCUGUUAAGUCGGGGGUGAAAUCCCGGGGCUCAACCCCGGAACUGCCUCCGAUACUGGCAGCCUAGAGAUCGAGAGAGGCGAGUGGAAUUGCGAGUGUAGAGGUGAAAUUCGUAGAUAUUCGCAGGAACACCAGUGGCGAAGGCGGCUUUCUGGACCAAUACUGACGCUGAGAUGCGAAAGCGUGGGGAGCGAACAGGAUUAGAUA